RNAcentral lists this ribosomal RNA (1639 nucleotides) under Staphylococcus aureus. RNAcentral describes it as "partial 23S ribosomal RNA". It matches the Rfam family "Bacterial large subunit ribosomal RNA", at positions 545 to 2187 of the family's 2925-position model. Lineage: Bacteria; Bacillati; Bacillota; Bacilli; Caryophanales; Staphylococcaceae. The record is from RNAcentral.
AGAACCUGAAACCGUGUGCUUACAAGUAGUCAGAGCCCGUUAAUGGGUGAUGGCGUGCCUUUUGUAGAAUGAACCGGCGAGUUACGAUUUGAUGCAAGGUUAAGCAGUAAAUGUGGAGCCGUAGCGAAAGCGAGUCUGAAUAGGGCGUUUAGUAUUUGGUCGUAGACCCGAAACCAGGUGAUCUACCCUUGGUCAGGUUGAAGUUCAGGUAACACUGAAUGGAGGACCGAACCGACUUACGUUGAAAAGUGAGCGGAUGAACUGAGGGUAGCGGAGAAAUUCCAAUCGAACCUGGAGAUAGCUGGUUCUCUCCGAAAUAGCUUUAGGGCUAGCCUCAAGUGAUGAUUAUUGGAGGUAGAGCACUGUUUGGACGAGGGGCCCCUCUCGGGUUACCGAAUUCAGACAAACUCCGAAUGCCAAUUAAUUUAACUUGGGAGUCAGAACAUGGGUGAUAAGGUCCGUGUUCGAAAGGGAAACAGCCCAGACCACCAGCUAAGGUCCCAAAAUAUAUGUUAAGUGGAAAAGGAUGUGGCGUUGCCCAGACAACUAGGAUGUUGGCUUAGAAGCAGCCAUCAUUUAAAGAGUGCGUAAUAGCUCACUAGUCGAGUGACACUGCGCCGAAAAUGUACCGGGGCUAAACAUAUUACCGAAGCUGUGGAUUGUCCUUUGGACAAUGGUAGGAGAGCGUUCUAAGGGCGUUGAAGCAUGAUCGCAAGGACAUGUGGAGCGCUUAGAAGUGAGAAUGCCGGUGUGAGUAGCGAAAGACGGGUGAGAAUCCCGUCCACCGAUUGACUAAGGUUUCCAGAGGAAGGCUCGUCCGCUCUGGGUUAGUCGGGUCCUAAGCUGAGGCCGACAGGCGUAGGCGAUGGAUAACAGGUUGAUAUUCCUGUACCACCUAUAAUCGUUUUAAUCGAUGGGGGGACGCAGUAGGAUAGGCGAAGCGUGCGAUUGGAUUGCACGUCUAAGCAGUAAGGCUGAGUAUUAGGCAAAUCCGGUACUCGUUAAGGCUGAGCUGUGAUGGGGAGAAGACAUUGUGUCUUCGAGUCGUUGAUUUCACACUGCCGAGAAAAGCCUCUAGAUAGAAAAUAGGUGCCCGUACCGCAAACCGACACAGGUAGUCAAGAUGAGAAUUCUAAGGUGAGCGAGCGAACUCUCGUUAAGGAACUCGGCAAAAUGACCCCGUAACUUCGGGAGAAGGGGUGCUCUUUAGGGUUAACGCCCAGAAGAGCCGCAGUGAAUAGGCCCAAGCGACUGUUUAUCAAAAACACAGGUCUCUGCUAAACCGUAAGGUGAUGUAUAGGGGCUGACGCCUGCCCGGUGCUGGAAGGUUAAGAGGAGUGGUUAGCUUCUGCGAAGCUACGAAUCGAAGCCCCAGUAAACGGCGGCCGUAACUAUAACGGUCCUAAGGUAGCGAAAUUCCUUGUCGGGUAAGUUCCGACCCGCACGAAAGGCGUAACGAUUUGGGCACUGUCUCAACGAGAGACUCGGUGAAAUCAUAGUACCUGUGAAGAUGCAGGUUACCCGCGACAGGACGGAAAGACCCCGUGGAGCUUUACUGUAGCCUGAUAUUGAAAUUCGGCACAGCUUGUACAGGAUAGGUAGGAGCCUUUGAAACGUGAGCGCUAGCUUACGUGGAGGC